GAUGAAGAACGUAGUAAAAUGCGAUAAGUAAUGUGAAUUGCAGAAUUCAGUGAAUCAUCGAAUCUUUGAACGCACAUUGCGCCCGCCAGUAUUCUGGCGGGCAUGCCUGCUCGAGCGUCAUUUCAACCCUCAAGCACAGCUUGGUGUUGGGACUCGCGUUAAUUCGCGUUCCUCAAAUUGAUUGGCGGUCACGUCGAGCUUCCAUAGCGUAGUAGUAAAACCCUCGUUACUGGUAAUCGUCGCGGCCACGCCGUUAAACCCCAACUUCUGAAUGUUGACCUCGGAUCAGGUAGGAAUACCCGCUGAACUUAAGCAUAUCAAUAAGCGGAGGA
This 332-nucleotide unclassified non-coding RNA is filed under the name soil metagenome. Its description in RNAcentral is "partial contains 5.8S ribosomal RNA, internal transcribed spacer 2, and large subunit ribosomal RNA". The stretch from base 1 to 120 matches the Rfam family "5.8S ribosomal RNA", at positions 35 to 154 of the family's 154-position model. The record is from RNAcentral.